AACAUAGUUUUAAGUUAUUUGUCGAAAUAAAGGUGGAAAUGUAAAAUCGAAAUCCAAGCCAUUGUUAAAAGAGAGCCGGCGGCUAAAUCGGUCAUAAAUUUAUACCUCUUAUCAUCGUUUGUUAACAAGAGAAGAAAGAUGUACGGUGUAUCACCAUCAAAAUCAAGCUUGCUUAAGCGUAUUAGGCCUCAGGAUCUUCAAUCUGCUGCUAUUUGGGGCACCGCCGCUCUCGGCGGCGCUAUUUAUCUCGUUCAGCCAUUCGACUGGGUGAGGAAGACUUUUUUUGAGAAACCGGAGCCUGAAGGAAAUUGAAAUGUGAAAUUCUGGUGCUACAAGUUUUUCAAGUAUAAACAUGUAUCAUUUAAUAAUGCAUCAUUUUCGUAGUUGUUUGUUGUCGAAUCUGUCAUGAGAUUCAUUUACUGAAGAUAGUUUUUCUUUUUGAGGGUCCAUGUAUCCGUUGACAAGGUGCACGCAUGAGGACUUGUUGAUGUAAUAAUUUGUGGAUGAAUUUUAAUUAUUAUAUUUGCGUUGCUGUCAA
Long non-coding RNA from Daucus carota subsp. sativus, 538 nucleotides. RefSeq lists it as uncharacterized. NCBI's taxonomy places the organism in Eukaryota, Viridiplantae, Streptophyta, Magnoliopsida, Apiales, Apiaceae. The record is from RefSeq and is a predicted model, not a curated record. The transcript has 2 exons.